Molecule: unclassified non-coding RNA, 721 nt
Filed under: Bombus terrestris (buff-tailed bumblebee)
Lineage: Eukaryota; Metazoa; Arthropoda; Insecta; Hymenoptera; Apidae
Description: misc RNA ENSBTSG00005024607.1
Source: RNAcentral
CUAUUUACAUAUCGAUAGGUACAAUUUUAAAAGUACUCGGAUAUUCUGCUGUAUUUAUUUUUAUUUACUUACCUGUAUUCUUAAACUUUGUUUAAAAAAAAAAAACAAUAUUCAUUUUAUGGGUUUAAAAUUUGAUCGAUUCAGUUUAGAGAAGAAGACAGGUAGAAACGUUGUACGAGAUAUUUGUGGUACUUUCCUUGCUAAAUCUUGUCCAUUUAGCAAUCAGCAAUGAUGAUUAUAUCACGAGGCUACUGUAUUGUUAAAUUUCAUUAAAAAACAAUACUCACUUUGUGGAUUUAAAAUUUGAUCAAUUUAAUGUAGGGGAAAGGAGAAAACAUUACACGAGAGGUUUUUAAUAAUUUUCUCAUUAAAUCUUGUGAAUUUACCAAUUCAACGACAAAUUAUUAUAUCCAAUACUACGUAACCAAUGAGAACGAAGAAGUUAUUACGACGAAUAUCAAAUACUAUAUCAAUGAUGACAACCUAACAAACAUCUUGCUUAUUUUCAUCUUCUUAUUAAAAUAAGAAAUACAUUAAAAAUCAAAUAUUAGAAAAACAAGUAUGUUAUUCCUACCUUCGUGGAUUUUGUCUUAUCAUUGAAAUAAAUAAUCCAGUCAGCAUUCGGUUUACAUACGCAGUAAUUUUUAUCGGUGUUUAUUCGCUUUAACGCUUCGAUCAGACUCUUCUCGCUCCAUCGAACAAUCGAGCCAUAAGUUUAUCG